This 467-nucleotide ribosomal RNA is filed under the name uncultured bacterium. RNAcentral's name for it is "partial 16S ribosomal RNA". The record is from RNAcentral.
GUGUACAAGGCCCGGGAACGUAUUCACCGCGGCAUGCUGAUCCGCGAUUACUAGCAAUUCCGACUUCAUGCAGGCGGGUUGCAGCCUGCAAUCCGAACUGAGACGCCUUUUGGGGAUUUGCUCCACCUCGCGGCUUUGCCUCCCUUUGUUUAACGCCAUUGUAUUACGUGUGUAGCCCAGGACAUAAGGGGCAUGAUGAUUUGACGUCGUCCCCACCUUCCUCCGUUUUGUCAACGGCAGUCUCGCUAGAGUGCUCUUGCGUAGCAACUAACAAUAAGGGUUGCGCUCGUUGCGGGACUUAACCCAACAUCUCACGACACGAGCUGACGACAACCAUGCACCACCUGUCUCAACUUUCCCCGAAGGGCACCUAAUGCAUCUCUGCUUCGUUAGUUGGAUGUCAAGCCCUGGUAAGGUUCUUCGCGUUGCUUCGAAUUAAACCACAUAAUCCACUGCUUGUGCGGGCC